Molecule: ribosomal RNA, 462 nt
Filed under: uncultured Acidovorax sp.
Lineage: Bacteria; Pseudomonadati; Pseudomonadota; Betaproteobacteria; Burkholderiales; Comamonadaceae
Description: bacterial SSU rRNA
Rfam family: Bacterial small subunit ribosomal RNA
Source: RNAcentral
ACCCGCACAAGCGGUGGAUGAUGUGGUUUAAUUCGAUGCAACGCGAAAACCUUACCCACCUUUGACAUGUACGGAAUCCUUUAGAGAUAGAGGAGUGCUCGAAAGAGAGCCGUAACACAGGUGCUGCAUGGCUGUCGUCAGCUCGUGUCGUGAGAUGUUGGGUUAAGUCCCGCAACGAGCGCAACCCUUGUCAUUAGUUGCUACAUUCAGCUGGGCACUCUAAUGAGACUGCCGGUGACAAACCGGAGGAAGGUGGGGAUGACGUCAAGUCCUCAUGGCCCUUAUAGGUGGGGCUACACACGUCAUACAAUGGAUGGUACAAAGGGUCGCCAACCCGCGAGGGGGAGCCAAUCCCAUAAAGCCAUUCGUAGUCCGGAUCGCAGUCUGCAACUCGACUGCGUGAAGUCGGAAUCGCUAGUAAUCGUGGAUCAGAAUGUCACGGUGAAUACGUUCCCGGGUCUU